AGUGAACGCUGGCGGUAGGCCUAACACAUGCAAGUCGAACGGCAGCACAGUAAGAGCUUGCUCUUACGGGUGGCGAGUGGCGGACGGGUGAGGAAUACAUCGGAAUCUACUUUUUCGUGGGGGAUAACGUAGGGAAUCUUACGCUAAUACCGCAUACGACCUACGGGUGAAAGCAGGGGAUCUUCGGACCUUGCGCGAUUGAAUGAGCCGAUGUCGGAUUAGCUAGUUGGCGGGGUAAAGGCCCACCAAGGCGACGAUCCGUAGCUGGUCUGAGAGGAUGAUCAGCCACACUGGAACUGAGACACGGCCCAGACUCCUACGGGAGGCAGCAGUGGGGAAUAUUGGACAAUGGGCGCAAGCCUGAUCCAGCCAUACCGCGUGGGUGAAGAAGGCCUUCGGGUUGUAAAGCCCUUUUGUUGGGAAAGAAAAGCAGCAGGUUAAUACCCCGCUGUUCUGACGGUACCCAAAGAAUAAGCACCGGCUAACUUCGUG
RNAcentral lists this ribosomal RNA (492 nucleotides) under uncultured bacterium. RNAcentral describes it as "partial 16S ribosomal RNA". It matches the Rfam family "Bacterial small subunit ribosomal RNA", at positions 29 to 507 of the family's 1533-position model. The record is from RNAcentral.